CUUGAGAGCUUCUAGCCCACUAUCCUUUUUAUUAGUUUCUUCCAAAAAGAAACUGAAGGGGUAUAAGGUUGUCUAGUUGAAGACUUGAAGGUGUGCCUGGCAAAGGAGCAUCACGGACCAAUCUGACUGAUCCAACAGUUAAAGGAAUAUCGACCAAAUCGAGAAACACGUCGGACUUUUGUUGAUUGAGCAAAACACUUAUGUCAGCACGACAGCACAAGAUUUAGCUGCAGGCUAAAAGUUGGAAGCAAUCACUCGCCUGAUCACCGACGAAAUCGAGAAGCCUCGCAGACGCUGAGGAGACGGGAUCGACGCCGCCGCGCAUCCGAUGAGCGUGCCGCGCCGCCUGCGCCAGCGAGUAGAGUAACGCCAGCGACGCGAUUGCAAGCAGGUACCUAGGGAGAGAGACAGAAGACGCAACAAUAAGCCAAAAAUAAACACGGAUCGAAGAGCACGCCGAGCUCGAACGAACCCCGAGCAACCGUCGUCCGCUGGCGCACCUGUACUCCUGGUAGCGGUCGAACUGCAUCCAGUCGCCGUGCUGGUUGGACGCGACGAGCACGAGCGCGACGAAGGCGAAGAUGGCGGCCGCGGCAUGCAGCGCGAGGGGGCUCUUGUCGAGCAUGUCCUCCCGCCGCCACCGCGCCACCACCGAGUCCACCACGCCACCGCCGCCGUCGCCGCGGCGGGCGCGGGCGCCCGUGCCGCCAUCUGCGGUGGUGGAAGCGCCGUUGUAGGGAGCGUAGUCCGGCUUCUCGACGUCCUGCGGCUUCUCUGCGGCUGCGGUGGCGGCGGUGGUGGCGGCGGCGGCCGCUUCAGUAGUGACCAUCGCCAUCGCUUUGCGGCGCACAGCGUCGAGGUGGUGGAUGGGUGCGAGGGGAAGGGAGGGGAACAAUAUUAGCGGGGCUUGUGAGAUUAAAAAUAAAAGUGCUUUAUUUACAAGUGCUUUGUGUGUGAUUCCGGGAAGGCACUUGUGCAUUACAGAGGUGGAAGCAAACGAGGUCAUUCGCACAGACAGUGAGUGAGACAGAUCAGCGGUUUCUCCAAAUAAUUACCAGAACAGAACUCAGUAGAAUAAUCUCCAUCCACCAGUGGACAUGGGCCCACUUGUCAGUUACUCAUGUGUUAGCAUCCAUUGUCCCACGACGUGUUGUGUGAUAUCAAGGUACUGCUGCUAGGAGAGGAUAAUAUGUUCGCUUGAGUUUAUCUAAGUGUUUUUUUAUAAUAAAUUAGCGAAUAGUACUUU
Molecule: long non-coding RNA, 1246 nt
Organism: Sorghum bicolor (sorghum)
Lineage: Eukaryota; Viridiplantae; Streptophyta; Magnoliopsida; Poales; Poaceae
Exons: 2
Source: RefSeq, a predicted model, not a curated record